This is a long non-coding RNA of Molossus molossus (Pallas's mastiff bat), 538 nucleotides long. RefSeq lists it as uncharacterized. The record is from RefSeq and is a predicted model, not a curated record. The transcript is spliced from 3 exons. NCBI's taxonomy places the organism in Eukaryota, Metazoa, Chordata, Mammalia, Chiroptera, Molossidae.
UGUUCACAGAGCAGUCAUUCAUAAUAGCCCCAGAGCAGAAGACAACGCAUGCCCGUCGGGUCUUGGCCGGACAAACUAAGGUGAUCUAUCUUCACGAUGGGGUAUCACUUGGCCACGAGGCAGGAAGGAGGUGCUGACUCCUGCUACAAGCCAGGAAGACUGAGGCCCAGACACUGAGUUGCCCAAGGCCAUUCAGCAGUCCACCGUGUUGUCUCACUGGAUCCUGACACUGCUGCCUCAGGCUGUGCCAUUGAUGAUUUGACAUGUAUGCAGAUCACCAGAGUGUGUGGUCCUGUGGUUGGCGCCCCCAAGAACCCUGAGCUCCCUGGCUGAGAGGCCCGAGGCUGGGGUUCUCAGCUCCGUGAAUCAGAAAUCGCGUGGACGGGGCGGGGGAACCGGUUGAGACCAACAUGAAGCAGCCCCGCUCCAGAACGCCCUCCUAGCCGACGUCUUUGAGCGGGUGCUGGGCUCACAGGGCGGCACAGAUCGCCCAUCACACAGAUGUGCCCUGAAGCCUAUGUCACCCCGUUAACCAAUG